GAGGGAUGGCUUAAAGUCACUGAAGGGGUGAGUAAGAGUCAAGUCAUAGGAUUCGGCCACAGCUUCAAUCUUUCAGUGGCUCGAUACUCUUCGACAUCCUCAUAGACCUCGACAUUCCAAACUUGGAGCGAUGUGCACAUGGAGGAGAUUGUGCAGAGGCUUCUGAGCCAGCGAUCUCAGAGUUUUCUGGAUGCCAUCCGCGAUACGAUCA
RNAcentral lists this long non-coding RNA (211 nucleotides) under Elaeis guineensis (African oil palm). Its description in RNAcentral is "long non-coding RNA (EGUI_LNC025492)". The record is from RNAcentral. Lineage: Eukaryota; Viridiplantae; Streptophyta; Magnoliopsida; Arecales; Arecaceae.